GGAAGAAAACGCUUCGUUGUUGUCGAACCCUUGGCAGACAUUGUGAAACCACCGAUUGCAAUGUUCACAUAGAAACCAGCCAUCUAUUUCCCUGUCACAGGUGCUUGUGGAUGGAGCCUCCCGGCUGGUACAAAAGGCCUGGACAAUGCUGGCAGAAUAUCCUGUUCACAGUCAAAUGGUGGUGGAAUGGGGAUAUCGUCGUUUGAAUUGGUGUCCUCACUGUCCUGAAGUGAAUAAAAAUGAGUGGUUUGAUGAAAAUGGGCAAGAACAAUUAUGAUAAGUUAUAGGGGAUGAGGCCCUGUUCAACUAGUGGGUUCUGCUGGACAAAAUGGCCACAUGCAUGGCACAAUGCAGGGGGUGCACAACUGGUUUGGUCAUCUUUAUGUAAUGGAAAGAGAAAUGAAACAUCACCAAAUCAAUUACCAUGGACUACAUCAUGGUGUGAAACCUGAAGUUUGUCAGGAGGGGCCAGCUGCAUCGGAUUUAAGGCCUUGGGAUCGAAAGGAUAAAUU
Molecule: long non-coding RNA, 512 nt
Organism: Saccostrea cuccullata (small rock oyster)
Lineage: Eukaryota; Metazoa; Mollusca; Bivalvia; Ostreida; Ostreidae
Exons: 4
Source: RefSeq, a predicted model, not a curated record